GAGGGUACAGCUCAGUGGUAGAGUGAGUGCAUAGCAUGCACUAGGUCUGGGUUCAAUCUCCAAUACCUCCA
RNAcentral lists this transfer RNA (71 nucleotides) under Camelus dromedarius (Arabian camel). It matches the Rfam family "tRNA". From Rfam's summary of the family: Transfer RNA (tRNA) molecules are approximately 80 nucleotides in length. Lineage: Eukaryota; Metazoa; Chordata; Mammalia; Artiodactyla; Camelidae. RNAcentral also lists the same sequence under 1 other name. The record is from Rfam by way of RNAcentral.